Molecule: non-coding RNA, 997 nt
Filed under: Candidatus Burkholderia brachyanthoides
Lineage: Bacteria; Pseudomonadati; Pseudomonadota; Betaproteobacteria; Burkholderiales; Burkholderiaceae
Description: bacterial LSU rRNA
Rfam family: Bacterial large subunit ribosomal RNA
Source: RNAcentral
CCGUAACUAUAACGGUCCUAAGGUAGCGAAAUUCCUUGUCGGGUAAGUUCCGACCUGCACGAAUGGCGUAACGAUGGCCACACUGUCUCCUCUUGAGACUCAGCGAAGUUGAAGUGUUUGUGAUGAUGCAAUCUCCCCGCGGCUAGACGGAAAGACCCCAUGAACCUUUACUGUAGCUUUGCAUUGGAUUUUGAACCGAUUUGUGUAGGAUAGGUGGGAGGCUAUGAAACCAGGACGCUAGUCUUGGUGGAGCCGUCCUUGAAAUACCACCCUGGUUUGUUUGAGGUUCUAACCUUGGCCCGUGAUCCGGGUCGGGGACAGUGCAUGGUAGGCAGUUUGACUGGGGCGGUCUCCUCCCAAAGCGUAACGGAGGAGUACAAAGGUACGCUAGGUACGGUCGGAAAUCGUGCUGAUAGUGCAAUGGCAUAAGCGUGCUUAACUGCGAGACCGACAAGUCGAGCAGGUGCGAAAGCAGGUCAUAGUGAUCCGGUGGUUCUGUAUGGAAGGGCCAUCGCUCAACGGAUAAAAGGUACUCUGGGGAUAACAGGCUGAUACCGCCCAAGAGUUCAUAUCGACGGCGGUGUUUGGCACCUCGAUGUCGGCUCAUCUCAUCCUGGGGCUGUAGCCGGUCCCAAGGGUAUGGCUGUUCGCCAUUUAAAGAGGUACGUGAGCUGGGUUUAAAACGUCGUGAGACAGUUUGGUCCCUAUCUGCCGUGGGCGUUGGAUAUUUGAAGGGGGCUGCUCCUAGUACGAGAGGACCGGAGUGGACGAACCUCUGGUGUACCGGUUGUGACGCCAGUCGCAUCGCCGGGUAGCUAUGUUCGGAAGAGAUAACCGCUGAAAGCAUCUAAGCGGGAAACUCGCCUUAAGAUGAGAUAUCCCCGGGGCGUCCAGUCCCUUGAAGGGUUGUUCCAGACCAGGACGUUGAUAGGUCAGGUGUGUAAGUGCAGUAAUGCAUUGAGCUAACUGAUACUAAUUGCCCGUAAGGCUUGAUCCU